UGGGUAAUCUUUUGAAACUUUAUCGUGAUGGGGAUAGAGCAUUGCAAUUAUUGCUCUUUAACGAGGAAUCCCUAGUAAGCACAAGUCAUUAGCUUGUGCUGAUUACGUCCCUGCCCUUUGUACACACCGCCCGUCGCUACUACCGAUUGAAUGGCUUAGUGAGGCCUUCGGAUUGAGAUUCGGAGUUUGGCAACAGACCCUGGGUUUUGAAAAGUUGGUCAAACUUGGUCAUUUAGAGGAAGUAAAAGUCGUAACAAGGUUUCCGUAGGUGAACCUGCGGAAGGAUCACUACCAAUUUUAGCGAACCUAAUCCUUUGGGUUAUGGUCUCGCGAAAAACUGUAUUUAAAACCCCACUCUUUAUAAAAUGAAUCUAUUAAUAUAAUAAUAAAUAAAGAUCACUUUCAACAACGGAUCUCUUGGUUCUCGCAUCGAUGAAGAACGUAGCGAAGUGCGAUAAGUAGUGUGAAUUGCAGAAUUCCGUGAAUCAUCGAAUCUUUGAACGCAAAUUGCACUCUCUGUUACGGAGAGUAUGCCUGUUUGAGGGUCAAUAUAAAUAAAUCGGUAUGUUGCUUUUUCUGUUACGUUCCGGAGUUUGGGUUAUCUUAGCUUUUUUAAGGUUUAAGAGACUUAAAAUUAAUCCUUUUUUGUGCAUUUUAGACGUACAUAAAUUUAUUUUAUUCGUCUGUUCUAAUGCCAAAAUUUUGUUAGAUGCAAUCAUAUCAUGUGGUCCCGUAUCUAUAAGUUUUCAUAAUCUGACCUCAAUCAGGUAGGAGUACCCGCUGAACUUAAGCAUAUCAAUAAGCGGAGGAAAAGAAAAUAACAAUGAUUUCCUUUAGGAACUACGAGUGAAGAAGAGAAGCUCAAAUUUUAAAUCUGUUAGGUUUACCUAACCGAGUUGUAAUUUGAAGAAGCGUUUUCUGCGUAGUUUGGUCAGCCUAAGUCCUAUUGAUUGAGCAUCAUGGAGGGGUGAUAUCCCGUCGGUUGAUCAUUGCGCGCUUACGAUACGCUUCGAAGAGUUCAAGUUGUUGGAUGCAGCUAAAAUGGGAGGUAUAGUUUCUCUCUAGCCUAAUUACCGGCCGAGGAACCGAUAGCGGAACCAGUA
Molecule: ribosomal RNA, 1103 nt
Filed under: uncultured Rhizophagus
Lineage: Eukaryota; Fungi; Glomeromycota; Glomeromycetes; Glomerales; Glomeraceae
Description: eukaryotic LSU rRNA
Rfam family: Eukaryotic small subunit ribosomal RNA (bases 1-291)
Source: RNAcentral